This 1552-nucleotide long non-coding RNA is filed under the name Equus asinus (donkey). RNAcentral describes it as "lncRNA (ENSEASG00005031995.1)". Lineage: Eukaryota; Metazoa; Chordata; Mammalia; Perissodactyla; Equidae. The record is from RNAcentral.
CUCUCCUCACUCCUAAACUGGGGCUCUGGGGAGCAGUAUACCGUUGAAUCACUUUCCCCAUUCUGCCAACGUCUGUCUUCUGAUUGGAGCGUUUAAAUCGUUAUUGUUGGAGGCCUCGCGCUCACGGGGUUACCUGUCCUUACAGGCUUCGUUCCGAAGACUUAACCCCUGAAAGCACUAACGUGUCUCCGACCGAUGCCGGAGCCUGUCACUUACAGUCCUUGCCGCUUUCCCCGCAGCUGUCUACAGUAUUUGAAUUACUGUCUUCUUCUUCGCAUUUCUGGUUACUAGUCAACAACUGUUUAAUUUCUAUCCAAGGAUGAUUAAAUCGACGUACACUGAAACAAGAAAUGUGCACUCACAAUACUAAAGGAUGACCUGGUCCGUGAUACUUUGGUCGCUUCCUCUGCUUAUUGGUUCGACAAGCCUCCUAGGUCUGGUACGCUGCUCGCUCACACCUACUACUCAACCCUCGACGAUUUAGGUGUGGUUGUUCCUCUCUGGGCAGGAGCAGUAAUUGCCCGUUUUUGCCAUAAAUCUAAAGCGUGUGGAUGGUGGGAGAGAGAAACUGCCUUUUCCUCUGUGGGGCCAACCAUCUGGAGACAUUGGGACGAGACUUGUCUGCACAAAGAGAGAAUGACAUCAAACUACACCAAACAUUUGGAAAUUUCGGGGCGAGAGACUUGAGGACGUGAUUCGAAUCCUGAGGUCGCCUCCCCCUGAUGCGGGGCAGGUGCUGGGAACACAGCAUGCAACCGGCAAGAGGCCAUCUCUGCCCUCAGGAGGUCUUGGAGGAGCCUGGUGGGAGACACAGCUACAUAACCAGGAGACGGCAACUCCGGGUGAUGAGGACUUCAGGGGAAGCUGGAAGUUGGAGAGGCAGCUACCUCAUCAGGGGUGUGGGAGGCAGGGUGAGCUUCCUGGAGGAGGUGACUUGUGAUCUGCAACCUGUUGACUGAGGCAGAUAAAUUCCCGAGUUCAGCGGAAGAUGUUGUGUCCUGGACCAGCCUUUGGAAACAGUACCCAAAGGGCAUCUAUCAGUGGAGAGGUGGCUCAGCCCCACCUUCAUCUUAUCUUCCUGCUUUAGCUCCUGCUGUGUCACCCGUCUCGAACACAUUUUAUUGGUGUGGUGAACUGCAAUAUGUGCGUCGAGCCCAAGAUGCUGUGCUGCCAGAGGAAUCCAUCCUGUGCCCAGCCCGAGUUAACCCAACUCCCUUAAUAUCCCAGCCACGCACUCUGUGGAGGGUUGUGGUUGAGUUUAUUAAGAUCUUCCUUUGUCUAAACACGUUUUAUCCACCAGAUGAGCUGCUGCUUUAGGGCAGAGAAGGUGUCCUACACAUCUAUGUGUCUCCAGUACCCCUACAAGGCUUGAACAUGACAGGUGCACAACAAACUCUUUCGGAAUGAAUGGAUGAGUGUUGUGAAUAUUUUAAGAAGUGUUUAGGAAAGAGGACAUGGGAUCGUUUGACAGACUUAGCCCCUAUUAUACGCCAGACACUCAAAUGUCCUCAAACCGAAUCUCAGAGAUCCAGAGAUGCGAAGUAACUUGUCC